Hyla sarda is the source of this 340-nucleotide long non-coding RNA. RefSeq lists it as uncharacterized. The transcript has 3 exons. The record is from RefSeq and is a predicted model, not a curated record. Lineage: Eukaryota; Metazoa; Chordata; Amphibia; Anura; Hylidae.
CCUUACUGUACUUACUGUUCUUGCUGUGUCUUGCUCUUCAGGUUCUAACUUCUUCUCACUGCUUACACUCUGUCUCUUUGCUGUCCGCAAUGUGCGCGCCAGCCUUCCUCUCUUUCUGUUCACGAGUAUGUCAUCAGUCAUCACAUCUCUGCUGAAGAUCUAUGCACUUUUCUGAUCCCUGGUAGAUGAGCUCACAUGUCAGCUUUGCUGUGCAGACUGGGACAGGAUGAAAAAAUUGGUGGAGAUUUAAUGACAGCACUGUUAUACGGCUAAAUAACAAGAUAAGGUAGAUAGUUACACUGUAUACAUACAUAGUAUACAACUCCCUUGUCAGUGCAUC